CCAGCAGCCAUCAGCCUCCUGGGUGCCUUUGUUCCUGGGCCCAAGUUGACUAAGCCAAGCAUAUGCUAAGCAGAUGGGUUAUCCGGAACAGAUAAGUCUUCUCCACCUCCAUCUGCCGUGUCCCCUGAUCCUUUCCUGGCCUUGUGGUUCACUCUCCAUCACCCGGUCCCAUUGUAUCUCACCAGUGCUACUUCAGUAUUGAUCGAGGAGAAGGAAACAACCUUACACUACUUGAGCACUGGGCAUUGAUGGGCAUCCUCCCCUGAGCUGUCUCAUCUUCUCCCGAAAUCUACCAAGGUGGGCAUCAUCCUCAGAACCUUAUAAUUAGA
Molecule: long non-coding RNA, 329 nt
Filed under: Fukomys damarensis (Damara mole-rat)
Lineage: Eukaryota; Metazoa; Chordata; Mammalia; Rodentia; Bathyergidae
Description: lncRNA (ENSFDAG00000031048.1)
Source: RNAcentral